CAGUAGCCGCGGUAAUGCGAAGGGUGCAAGCGUUAAUCGGAAUUACUGGGCGUAAAGCGUGCGUAGGCGGUGAGUUAAGUCUGCUGUGAAAUCCCCGGGCUCAACCUGGGAAUGGCAGUGGAUACUGGCUCGCUAGAGUGUGUCAGAGGAUGGUGGAAUUCCCGGUGUAGCGGUGAAAUGCGUAGAGAUCGGGAGGAACAUCAGUGGCGAAGGCGGCCAUCUGGGACAACACUGACGCUGAGGCACGAAAGCGUGGGGAGCAAACAGGAUUAGAUACCCCAGUAGUCCCUGUAUCUUAUAC
RNAcentral lists this ribosomal RNA (301 nucleotides) under uncultured bacterium. RNAcentral describes it as "partial 16S ribosomal RNA". It matches the Rfam family "Bacterial small subunit ribosomal RNA", at positions 509 to 807 of the family's 1533-position model. The record is from RNAcentral.